Molecule: ribosomal RNA, 253 nt
Filed under: uncultured bacterium
Lineage: Bacteria
Description: partial 16S ribosomal RNA
Rfam family: Bacterial small subunit ribosomal RNA
Source: RNAcentral
UACGGAGGAGGCAAGCGUAAUCCGGAAUUAUUGGGCGUAAAGCGUCGGUAGGUGGUUGGCCAAGUCUGCUGUCAAAGGGUGGGGCUUAACCUCAUAAGGGCAGUGGAAACUGGCGGGCUAGAGUGCGGUAGGGGUAGGGGGAAUUCCGAGUGUAGCGGUGAAAUGCGUAGAGAUUGGGAAGAAAAUCGGUGGCGAAAGCGCCCUGCUGGGCCUGCACUGACACUGAGGGACGAAAGCUAGGGGAGCGAAAGGG